This 425-nucleotide ribosomal RNA is filed under the name uncultured bacterium. RNAcentral describes it as "bacterial SSU rRNA". It matches the Rfam family "Bacterial small subunit ribosomal RNA", at positions 354 to 796 of the family's 1533-position model. The record is from RNAcentral.
GUUAGGAAUAUUGGACAAUGGGCGCAAGCCUGAUCCAGCCAUGCCGCGUGAGAGAUGAAGGCCUUCGGGUUGUAAAGCUCUUUAGCCGAUGAUUAUAAUGACUGUAGUCGGAAAAUAAGCCCCGGCUAACUUCGUGCCAGCAGCCGCGGUAAUACGAAGGGGGCGAGCGUUAUUCGGAAUCACUGGGCGUAAAGCGUGCGUAGGCGGCUUUGCAAGUUGGGAGUGAAAGCCCAGGGCUCAACCCUGGAAUUGCUCUCAAAACUGCAAGGCUCGAAUUCGGGAGAGGAUAGCGGAAUUGUCAGUGUAGCAGUGAAAUGCGUAGAUAUUGACAGGAACACCAGUGGCGUAAGCGGCUAUCUGGACCGAUAUUGACGCUGAGGCACGAAAGCGUGGGGAUCAAACAGGAUUAGAUACCCCUGUAGUCC